This 611-nucleotide long non-coding RNA is filed under the name Ananas comosus (pineapple). Its description in RNAcentral is "long non-coding RNA (ACOM_LNC026729)". The record is from RNAcentral. Lineage: Eukaryota; Viridiplantae; Streptophyta; Magnoliopsida; Poales; Bromeliaceae.
AAUAACACCAAAGGCCUAUUUAUUUCAUCCAAACUGAAUUUUGGGUUGAAGUAGAUUUUGGUAAAAACUAUUUUUUUCUCGCUGUUUAUUUUUAUAACUAUGAAAGUGAAGUUUUUUCAGUUUUACUAUCAGUUUAGCAGAAAAUAAAUAAUAUAAAAAUAUAAUUAAUAUAUCAAUAAUAAAUAACUUAAAUUAUCAAUAAAAUAAUACAGUAAAAAAAUAUAAAUAAUUAACUAAUUAUUUUUCAUCAUAUUUUAAAUAUACAAACUAAAUUAAAAAAAUAAAACUUAACUAAUCAAUUUUUAUCAUAUUUUAAGUAUGCAAAUUAAAUAAAAAAUUAAUUAGUGUCAUAGUUAAAUAUAUUUAAAUAAAACUACAAUUACUUAUUGUAUUAUUUUAUUAUUUUUUUUCUUCAUCUUUAUUCGCUGUAAUUGACUUCGGCUCGGGUGUGCCGAAGUUAAUUAUGCCAUUUCGAAAUAUAACUCGAGUUUCGACUGUCUUCUUAUUACGGCAAACCAAUCAGCAAAAAAUAAUCGUUUACGGCCGAAAACGGUUUCACAAUCUCUACUUUCACCCAAACAAAUAAGCCCAAAUUGAAGUGUAUAUAUACA